UUUCCCAGAAGUCUCAGAUGUACACUGUAACUCUUAUAUUUGAACUAAAUCUAGGUAGAGUUAAAUAAUUGAGCUUCAAGUGAUAUAGACGUACUUCAUGCCAGGAAGAGUUCCUGCGAGUAGGAGCUGCAGCAGAAGAUGCCGGGAUGCCUCAGCCCCAAAGAGACUGGGCCGGUAGCAGCUGAAGAUCACAAAUGCACAAGGGGGGAUGCUGCAGUAGCACCAAGUCCAUCCAGAGCAGACUGGAGGGCUCCAUUCAUGAUGAUUUGGUACACUAAAUGCAGAACUUCACAGCAGCAGGUA
This 303-nucleotide long non-coding RNA is filed under the name Fukomys damarensis (Damara mole-rat). RNAcentral describes it as "lncRNA (ENSFDAG00000022479.1)". The record is from RNAcentral. Lineage: Eukaryota; Metazoa; Chordata; Mammalia; Rodentia; Bathyergidae.